This is a long non-coding RNA of Anolis carolinensis (green anole), 5645 nucleotides long. RefSeq lists it as uncharacterized. The transcript is spliced from 2 exons. NCBI's taxonomy places the organism in Eukaryota, Metazoa, Chordata, Lepidosauria, Squamata, Anolidae. The record is from RefSeq and is a predicted model, not a curated record.
UUGCUUGUUGGCUUGCUGUAAAACUCAUGCUACUGGUUGUUGCUAUCUCUAAACGUCAUCAAUUCUUCAUCAUGGUAGUGGGGUUUCUGAUUUGUUCUUUUUCUUUUAUGGCAUGAUGCACUAGUGAGUGUGAGUAUCCAUGUCCAAACACAAACUCCAGCAUCUAUAUAUGGAUUUUAAUAGAACAACUGUUUUGAGUCAAUUCUGACAUUUUAUUAACAAAAUUUGUUUAGGGGGAGGGGGUUGCUUGCGAAUCUGAGAGAGUGUGAUGGCCCAAAUUCACCCCAUAAAUUUUCAUGGCUGAGCAGAGAACCUUGGUCUUCAGAGUUGCAGUCCAACAUUCAAAUUGCUACAUCAUGCUGGCUUUCUGAAUACUGUAAACACUUUAAAAUUGCAAAUCUAUCAAAUCAUAUAAAAGAAAAACCACUUAUCAAAAUAAAGGCUCCUAGUAUUAGGUAAAGGUAAAGGUUUUCCCCUGACAUUAAGUCCAAUUGUGUCCAACAAUUGGUUGGUGCUCAUCUCCAUUUCUAAGCCAAAGAGCCGGCGUUGUCCAUAGACGCCUUCAAGGUCAUGUGGCUGGCAUGAUUGCAUGGAGCACCUAGUAUUAUCUGAUGCUAAUUACUUAGAUAAUAAGUUCAGCAUUUUUAAUAAUAAAGAAUUUUGAGGCAAAGUUGUCCUGCAACAUUAAGUAUUAAAUGUGUACAACAAGGGCUGGUCCUACCAUUAGGUACAAUGAGGCAGAUGCUUCAAGCAGCAAUUUUGUGGUAUAGUGAAAUGGCAGUCCAUUGCUGAUUGUACAUUCACUGUUAGGGGCUUCUGGGUUUCUUUUCCUCAGAUUCUAAAACUGAAUGAAUCACCUUGGAUAAUCAGUCUAUCAAAAUGUCUUAAAUUUUCCACCAACACAGCAUAUAUGCCAGAGUUUCAAUUCGAUUAUUGAAAAAAAUUUAAACAGCUACCAAUUAGGGCUCUUUAGCAUUGCUGAAACCCAUAACAUUCCAAACAGUCCAAUGGUGGAGGCCUGUUAAAACAUCUGGCCAUUUUGUAGAGCAUCCAUUCUCCAGAGGAACCCUAAAAUGAGUGGCAUAACAAAUAGUGAAAUUAAGUGGGUUGAGUAAUAAUUGGUUGGUAAUGUUUCCUUUUUUUAAAAAAGAACAACUUUUCUUGCUAGACAUACUCAGUCCAUCAGUUAAGUGUAUAUGAAGAACCACAUUGUUUUGGGACCAUGGUGAGAAUAUAUAUGGAAUAGCAUCUUUCCAUUGAAAGAGCCAGAUUUCAGCCACAUAUCUUGUAACAUAACAAGGCUAGUUUGAUAUAAGGAUCUUCUUUAAUAUGAUGUAAUGUGUCUAAGUUUUAGAGACAUCUCCAGGGAACAUGCAAACUAAAAGUCUUUUAAGUGAAAUGGAAAAGCAGACUCCACAAAGAAAAUAUCAUGAAAAUGCCCCAUACUAGGGAAAAGCAUUACUAUGUUUGUGCACAUCGUAGUUGCACAUACUCAUUUCAAUGGAUCCUGUAUGAGAGAUUUGCCCAGGGGAUUAUGCCCAGGGUUAUUAAAUCUGUCCUUUGUUAGCCUCUGCUGCGAGAAUGCAAAAUAAACUCUCUGUCUGAUCAAGAAGGAAAGUAUCCAAAUGGAAGUUUUACUGUUCAUCAUGCAGUACACAUUGCCCUCCAAUAUUGUUUAAACCACAGGAUUUCUUCACUCACUAGUAACAGACAUCAGAAAAAAGACAAUGGAGAUGUAAUAAUGAAAAGAAAAAUAGCAAAGUCUUUAAUCACAGCUGCACAUGCAGCAUUGGUAUUCCUAGAAUGUUUUAGAAUAGAUAUGUACAUUUUUUCUGCCCAUCAAACACUUAAUAAAAGAUGGCUCCUCUAGGCAAUUUGCAAACUAUAGUAUCAUCUAGAUAUAUGUCAGUGUAAAUCAAGAACCUUCCAUUCACAGUUUUUUCUAAACAAGUACAGCAUAAUCUUUCCUACCCUUGUUUUUGUCAAAGCCUCAUAAAUCUAUCACAGUGUGCUGUCUUCUUAGAAUGCAGCCAAAAUCACAAAUAUUUUAAAGGUAUGGAAAAAAUACACAUUCAGCAAGACAAUCAUCGUAGGAGGAGCAGGUAAUUUUCACCACCUGAGUUAUAUAUUUCACUGUAACAUGACUUUAAUAGACAUCAACUAAUCAUGUUUAAAGUCUAACUCUUUAUUUUUUUUCUGUUUGCCCUUAAACUAUUCUUUUAGCUGACCUUAAUAUAUAUGUAAAAAUACACAAGACUUUCCUAUAAAUUGCUACCUAUGAGUACCCUCUACCCUGGAUAUUUAGGAUAGGAUUAGUUGGACAAGACAUAACUAUUAUUUUGUCAGUUUUAAGAUGCCACUCACUAAUUUCUUUAGAUUUUAGCCAUCUAGUUUAUCAGCUAAAUAAAACACCAGCAAAGCAUGUUUCGGGUCUUUUGAAAUCUUUCUGUAGUCUCUCUUUGAGUUUUAAUCUCUUUAAUUCUAAGAGUAUAUAAAGAAUUUAGAAUAUGAGGUAUCACCUUCUCUUGGAUGUAUAGUUUAUAGUUCUGUAUUUAUUGAAUUCAUCCAUGGGUUCCCUUAGGAUGUGAAAUGUAUGGAAAUAUAUGUGCAUUACUAAAGAAAGGCCUAAAUUUAUUCUUUCCCCACAUCAUGCUCUUCUUUGCAGUCGAGGUUUUUAAUUCAACACAGAGCUAGAAUGAGAUGGAGCCAAUUUCUUGGUCUAUAUGUGUGACAAAUGCUAAAAGUGGCACUAGAUUAACAAAUUAGUUGAAGUGUAGAUCUUAUAAGAUUUUUUUUAGAAAAAACUUUGUCUCUUUGAUAAAGAAACAUGCUUUACUUGCAAUUAUGCCUUCUUUACAUAUGUGUAGAAUGUGAGGAUCUUAUAUUUUCUACUAACAUGAAAAGGUGAUGUGUGGAAAAAUAGUAACCCGAAAUAAUAUUGGGUUGGUGAAUUAUAGAAAUAAUAUUGUAAUUGAGUACUGCUUGUCUUGAUUGCUUUAAGUUUCAGUGCUCAAUGCUUUGUUUUGUUUUGUUUGUAGGUAUUUAUGAUGAAGAAGAUGAUAGGGAUGGGUGAGCUACCUAAAACGAAAGCACGUGUCUGUGCUGGUGAAGGAGGGGGAUCCUACACAUCUUCUGCUCGGUGCAAUAUUUUAAAAAGAAAAGACCCAUGUGCGUAAGGUGUCAAAAUUACAAGUCUGAUCUAUUUUCAAUGAAGGAUGAAGAAUUUCAGAAUCUGGAGAACAAAGAAAAUGAACUCUUUGAGCCGAAUGGAAACUGGUUUAGAUAUUGAUUUUGAAAUAUGUUACAGUUUGUCUUUUUUGAUAAUCUAUUUGGCAUUCUAAGUUAUGAACACAGCAAUUCCCAGGAAUAUUUCUUUAAAUUGUCUACAUGUGUGUGCACACUCGCACACUCAUGGAACACACACCUGGCAAAUGUGUGGGGUUUUUUUUAAUAUAAAAGAUGCAUUUUAAAGAGGCUGUUUCUUCUUGCUCUUCUUCUAAAGAUCUCAAAAAGAAGAUACAAUUCUAGACCCCAGGUAGCAGAGACAUGCUGAAAGAUGACCAGCCUAGCCUUUACACACAGAUACACACACACACACAUUUCUCGCUUCCUGACACCCGGAGAAUAGCCUUAUCCCUUCUCGAAGAUUUCAUUGAGAACAAUUCACAUAGGAAAGGGGAAAGUAUGCAGGCAGGACUGAAAUAACUGGAUAUUCAAGCAGCAAAAAAGACAGGUGUGGUUUGGGAAUUUCUUGUCCUUGUGGCAGCUGUUAUUCAUGUCUAUGUUACCUUAAUAGGCUGAUUUUUUACUUUUAAUUAAUUAAAUAAUAUAUUUUAUUAUACAUAUAAAACUGGAAGCAGACAUCUUACAUGAAUUAUUCUGUCCAAUCCUGGAGGUAGCUCAGUUUCGUCAUAUAUUUAUACGUUUACUUAUUUGCAGGGCAAGGAGGAGCAUACUAGUAUGUUCUUCAAUAUAUUAUGUUAAUUUGCAUGCUCUAUAUCUAGCAAAUGCUGCUUCAAUUACAAGUUUAUAUGUCAUUUUAAAUACUAUAAGUUGUGUUUGUUCUGUUGAGUCCAUAAUAUUGCAAAUCCAGAUAAAGUUCUGUAAUUUUGAUCGUGCUGCUCUCAUAACAGCAAAAGCAACCUAAAGCACACAGUCCAAUAAUAAUCAUAAUUAUGAUUUGUUUGUUUUUGCUAAAUUCCUACUGUCAACUCAAGAGUUAAGAUGCAAGCUUCCAUUCAAUUGUAUUUAAAUCUGAUUAACUGUGGCUGGAUCAUUAUCAUAAUAAUGCCAAUGACGCUGUAUGUUUGAUGUGCUAUAUGAAACUGCAUUUUGGAAAACCAUAAAUGUGUAUAAACAAUUACACACAAUUAUGCACAGUAUCAGCAGAUACUGGCCUUGCAUAAGUAGAAGACAUUGGCCUAUAACUUUAUGUAUGUAAGAUUAAUAUUUUUGAAAUGAUUAAAAUUGUCUAUCAAUUUUAUCGUGCCUUUUUUAUGAAAUGGUAGAACAUACAAAAAUGUUAUUCUGCAUUUGAUACCUUUUAAAGCAACAUCAGGUUAUGUUUGACAUGCUGCAAUUAAUCUUUAUGGGUGUGAUAGUGCUUUAAAAGUAGAAAACUGGAGUCUGAAGCUUUUUAAAUACUAUUGGUGGCAAUAUGAGCAGCUUCUUUUCAAGCAAUCAAAAGAUAAAUUCAUUUUCUUUAUAAAUCUAUAUGAUCUCCAUAAAAUUGAAUGUUCCUAAGGACAAUUGUCUCAAAAUAAGGUGUUUUUCAAGAAAAAAAACUAUGAAUAAACUAAGAACUAAUUUACCUUGCUUUCCUGUUUAAUAUAAAAUGCCAUAUAUAUUUGAAGGAAGAAAAUUGCUUAAAUUUAGGGAAGAUUUGCCUCAGCAACUCUAGCAUUAUCAAAAUACUAUUAUCUGGGUCAUUUAUUAGCAUGGUGCUGUUAGUUCUCCUAGUUUAUUGAAUUUUGAGAAAGGAGACUUGAUUUUAUUAAAACUUGCAAAUUUUAUAUCAGGUAAGGGGUAUUUAUGAUGUCAACAUGUGCCAGUCAGUAUUAGUGUUUCAAAUCCCCUAAGAAAAGACAGAGGUGUGUCUAAACUUGCUUGCUAAUAUGGCCAACUUCUAGAAAACCAUAUUAUUAAAUACCAUUUAUGUCCUCAAGGUAAGCAUCAACUGAGAAAAAUAUCAUAUUGUUUAUGAUCUAUCUAAAGCCAAAUUAGAUAUAAAACAGUCUAAAUGGUUUCCUGCUCUGUUUAAGCAGUCUCCAUAGAUGUUCAUACAGUGCACUGAAUAGGGCGAAGCUAUUAAAGGAACUGUAAUUGCCUUCCUGAAGUAAUAAUAUAUCUGAUACAAAUGUCAAUAUAACCCUCAAGAAUUCACAAGUUCUGUUCCAAGUGUAGUGAUUUGGUUUUACAGCAUGGCCAUACACAUGUUUACUUAGGAGAAAGUUUCCUUCAUUUCAAUUGUACUUGCUGAUUGGCAGGAUAUGUAUUUAGGAUUGUAUCUGUAGGAUAUUUUAUACAUGUGUAAAUAUUUGCCCUUACUGCAUAUGAGAUAUCAUAUUCUUCUGUUUUUCUUAAUGUGUAUGUGCAUAAAAAUAGAAGAAAUGGAAAGGCACGUGACAAUUAAAGAAUUUCACAGA